RNAcentral lists this ribosomal RNA (1400 nucleotides) under uncultured bacterium. RNAcentral describes it as "16S ribosomal RNA". It matches the Rfam family "Bacterial small subunit ribosomal RNA". The record is from RNAcentral.
UUCGCCCUUAGAGUUUUAUCCUGGCUCAGGACGAACGCUGGCGGCGUGCUUAACACAUGCAAGUCGAACGGAGUACCCUCGAAAGAGAUUUCGGUCAAUGGAGAGGACUACUUAGUGGCGGACGGGUGAGUAACGCGUGAGGAACCUGCCUUUCAGUGGGGGACAACAGUUGGAAACGACUGCUAAUACCGCAUAACGUACUGGUAUCGCAUGGUACUGGUACCAAAGAUUUAUCGCUGAGAGAUGGCCUCGCGUCUGAUUAGCUAGUUGGUAGGGUAACGGCCUACCAAGGCGACGAUCAGUAGCCGGACUGAGAGGUUGGCCGGCCACAUUGGGACUGAGAUACGGCCCAGACUCCUACGGGAGGCAGCAGUGGGGAAUAUUGGGCAAUGGGCGCAAGCCUGACCCAGCAACGCCGCGUGAAGGAAGAAGGCUUUCGGGUUGUAAACUUCUUUUGACAGGGAAGAGCAGAAGACGGUACCUGUCGAAUAAGCCACGGCUAACUACGUGCCAGCAGCCGCGGUAAUACGUAGGUGGCAAGCGUUGUCCGGAUUUACUGGGUGUAAAGGGCGUGUAGCCGGGCUGACAAGUCAGAUGUGAAAUCCGGGGGCUCAACCCCCGAACUGCAUUUGAAACUGUUGGUCUUGAGUAUCGGAGAGGCAGGCGGAAUUCCUAGUGUAGCGGUGAAAUGCGUAGAUAUUAGGAGGAACACCAGUGGCGAAGGCGGCCUGCUGGACGACAACUGACGGUGAGGCGCGAAAGCGUGGGGAGCAAACCAGGAUUAGAUACCCUGGUAGUCCACGCUGUAAACGAUGGAUACUAGGUGUGCGGGGGACUGACCCCCUGCGUGCCGCAGCUAACGCAAUAAGUAUCCCACCUGGGGAGUACGAUCGCAAGGUUGAAACUCAAAGGAAUUGACGGGGGCCCGCACAAGCGGUGGAUUAUGUGGUUUAAUUCGAUGCAACGCGAAGAACCUUACCAGGGCUUGACAUCCUACUAACGAAGUAGAGAUACAUUAGGUACCCUUCGGGGGAAGUAGAGACAGGUGGUGCAUGGUUGUCGUCAGCUCGUGUCGUGAGAUGUUGGGUUAAGUCCCGCAACGAGCGCAACCCUUAUUGUUAGUUGCUACGCAAGAGCACUCUAGCGAGACUGCCGUUGACAAAACGGAGGAAGGUGGGGACGACGUCAAAUCAUCAUGCCCCUUAUGUCCUGGGCUACACACGUAAUACAAUGGCGGUCAACAGAGGGAUGCAAAACCGUGAGGUGGAGCGAACCCCUAAAAGCCGUCCCAGUUCAGAUCGCAGUCUGCAACCCGACUGCGUGAAGUCGGAAUCGCUAGUAAUCGCGGAUCAGCAUGCCGCGGUGAAUACGUUCCCGGGCCUUGCACUCACCGCCCGUCA